UACGUAGGUGGCGAGCGCUAUCCGGAAUUACUGGGUGUAAAGGGCGCGUAGGCGGGGAUGCAAGUCAGAUGUGAAAUCUAUGGGCUCAACUCAUAAACUGCAUUUGAAACUGUAUUUCUUGAGUGCUGGGGAGGUAGAUGGAAUUCCUUGUGUAGCGGUGAAAUGCGUAGAUAUAAGGUAGAACACCAGUGGCGAAGGCGAUCUACUGGACAGUAACUGACGCUGAGGCGCGAAAGCGUGGGGAGCAAAC
Molecule: ribosomal RNA, 250 nt
Filed under: uncultured prokaryote
Description: partial 16S ribosomal RNA
Rfam family: Bacterial small subunit ribosomal RNA
Source: RNAcentral